UUGUAAUCCGGAGGUCGCGGGUUCAAACCCCGGCUCGUACCAUUGUUUUUCGGAACUUAUGUACGAAAUAUCAUUUGAUAUUUACCAGUCGCUUUUCGGUGAAGGAAAACAUCGUGAGGAAACCGGAUUAAUCCCAACAAGGAUUAGUUUACCCUCUGGGUUGGAAGGUCAGAUGGCAUCAGUCACUUUCGUAAAAACUAGUGCCUACGCCAAAUCUUGGGAUUAGUUGUCAAGCUGAACCCAGGCACCCAUGAGCCGUGGCAAAAUGCCGGGACAACGCGAAGAAGAAAAGGCUGUUAUAUUCUUAAACUGACUUUGGGUUAGGGUAACUACCAUAAUCAUGAAUAUCUAGAACAUUUGUAGUUCUGAAUAAAAAACGGUUAAACUACAUUUGAGAUUAAAUGUUAAACCAUGCUUAAAUGAGCCUGGGAACACAAUUUGUUAUAAUCUCGAUGUUUUGAUUAAGUAGGUAUGUCUGCAAUUUAGUUCACCAAUCCCUUUUGGCGAGCGCGGUUUAUUUACUCGCUUACCGUAAAUAACAACAAGGUUAUUAUGUUCGGACGUUUGUGCAACGGAGCGCGCGCCGCCGCCAGGGCGUCGGCACUUGGGCAGGUGCAUUUAGCUCCCUUGCUGCCUGUUGCCUGAGCCUACUGGUUUAGUCGCUUUGCAACACAGACACACCAAGUUCAAAGAGUUCACGUUAACCUGUAGCUCUUUAGAUUCCCGACCAAUUUAAUGUGUCGCAUUAUAGAGCUACGAGUAAUACUUACUCUUGUCUUGUGUUUACCGCAAACCCUCUUUUUGUUAGUGUUCUUUUUAAUCUGUUCCUUGUUAAUUGUUGCUAUUUCCUGUUUGUAACAUACCUUUUAAUUUAAGUUGUCACUCAAACAAUUCGUGACAAUGUCAUGAUACGCGCAGACGUCCUACUAUUGUCGUAUAGAAUAUAAUUAUGUAAGUGUCUCAGAGGUCAGCGGGAAUACAAUGGCGGGUGACCCUCAUUGAAUUUAUUUAUUGGCUCUACCCCACAUGAAGAAAAUCCGUUUCCUCUGCAGGUUUUGUGAGGGAAUAUCAUUCGAUCUACCGUACUCUCCCUCGUCUUAACGUUUCCGGGAUGUAUCAGACCUUCGGAUCUAUCAGAGGUGUGUACAAAAUGAAAUCCAGUUGACAGUUUAUUUUUGGUCGUCAGUAGUUACUACCUAAUAUGGGAACAUUUUGUUACAAGGUCUGCCCAUCUUAUUGGAUAUCGCUUGCCUUCUACAGCGUGAUUCAUAACUCGUGAUAAAAAAUACGAUUUUAUUACUAAAUUUUAAUACUAGUAUUACAAAAGUAAGAAUAUCCAAAAA
Molecule: long non-coding RNA, 1343 nt
Organism: Cydia pomonella (codling moth)
Lineage: Eukaryota; Metazoa; Arthropoda; Insecta; Lepidoptera; Tortricidae
Exons: 2
Source: RefSeq, a predicted model, not a curated record